AACGAACGCUGGCGGCAUGCCUAACACAUGCAAGUCGAACGAGACCUUCGGGUCUAGUGGCGCACGGGUUCGUAACGCGUGGGAACCUGCCCUUAGGUUCGGAAUAACUCCCCGAAAGGGGUGCUAAUACCUGAUAAUGGCUUCGGACCAAAGAUUUAUCGCCUUUGGAUGGUCCCGCGUUGGAUUAGCUAGUUGGUAGGGUAAAAGCCUACCAAGGCGACGAUCCAUAGAUGGUCUGAGAGGAUGAUCAGCCACACUGGGAGUGAGACACGGCCCAGAAUCCUACGGGAGGCAGCAGUGGGGAAUAUUGGAAAAUGGGCGAAAGGAUGAUCCAGCAAUGCCGCGUGAGUGAUGAAGGCCUUAGGGUUGUAAAGCUCUUUUACCCGGGAUGAUAAUGACAGUACCGGGAGAAAAAGCUCCGGCUAACUCCGUG
Molecule: ribosomal RNA, 433 nt
Filed under: uncultured bacterium
Lineage: Bacteria
Description: partial 16S ribosomal RNA
Rfam family: Bacterial small subunit ribosomal RNA
Source: RNAcentral